Molecule: RNA transcript, 2306 nt
Organism: Stegostoma tigrinum
Lineage: Eukaryota; Metazoa; Chordata; Chondrichthyes; Orectolobiformes; Stegostomatidae
Gene: lrrc10
Gene name: leucine rich repeat containing 10
Exons: 2
Source: RefSeq, a predicted model, not a curated record
UACAGAUGAGAGCACGUGGAGUGUUUAGUGGCCAUAGAGGAACACAAAAAAAAAUUAAGUCCCACUUAUGAAGUGUUCCUCUUUUAGAUCAGAUCGUGUACACACAAGCAUUAUUUUCAUUUAAACAUUUCAUUUAAAUUAUUUUGAGUCAAUGUCUGGCAUGGAUAAAGCUUUACCUUGGAGCUGCCUUAAUAAUAUCAUCCACUCGAAGGAUCAUUUCAGCUGCCUCUGAUGCACUCAGCAGAACUUGUCUCUUCACUUGGAAGCUCUCUGUAAUACCCAAUGCUGCCAUGUCUCCAAUAGUGCCAUUUGUCAUGUCUAAAAAUAGAAAUUGCAGCAUUUUACUGAAUGUAAAAAAAAACUUAUGUCAUACCCUGUACUCAUUUUAAAUGCAUUAGUUCAAUCAAACAAAUGCUCUACUGAAUUUCUUACCCAAUCCAUAUGUUGUUUUCCCUUCGCUAUGAGCAGCUCGCAACUGAGCCACUAAAUCUGCACUGUCAUACCCAGCAUUAUCAGCUAUGAUUGUGGGAAGCUAAGGAGAAAGAAAAUAAGUUAUAUCAGUUACCGUAUAUGGUGCAUUUAACUUUUGUUUUAAACAAAUAGUGUAAAGACUAGGAAUUGACUCUCUUUCACACAAUUUGCAGGAUUUUAUGAUCAUUGUGGUACAUGGGAUAAAUAAUGUAAUGCUGUUAUUUUCAUGAUUUAUACAGUUUCUACCAAAGCAUGACCUAGCACUAUAUUCAAAGUAUAUUCAGCUUGACAGGAGUGUGCUAACAGCAAGCAGAGGCUUAAAAUAGUGUAAAAAAGCCAAAUGUUGUACCCCAACCAUACUUUACUUAUAUGCUACAUUUAUAAAACAAGUAAUCAGAUGUUUUUCAAAUCUGACAACUAGUCUCGAAUGCUAGCUAGUUUAUCAGUUGGAAAGAACUUGCAUAGUGAAAACAGCCAUAAUCUGGAACCAUUUAUUCAUCACUGAAAUUGAAAAUUUGUUCACAAUUACUAUUGUGUAGAACAGCUUCCUAUUUGGAAACUGCAAUUGGAACUUCGUGUUAAGCAAAUAAAUUAACAAAAAUAUUUAACAUCUACAUCCUAGUGCUUAUACUACACAAAUUAUGUAAGAAGGCAGAACUCCAGUUUGAAUCUCUGUACUGAAUUUCAUCUGGUAUAUAAUAUGGAUGGAAUGGAGCUAUAUAUUAGGCAAAAACCUUUUCUCUCUGACCUUUUCAUUCCUUGUGUUGUAUGACAGCAAAUAUAGGAAAAUCUUAAGUAUGGAUUUAAGAGAUCAAUCUUCCAUAAGCAAAACCCUUCAUACAACACAGAGUUCUGGAAAAUUUGUGUACAGAAGACAUCUCGUAAUUAACACACUUGGAAGUUCACAUGGCAAGCUGAGACAGCAGGAAGAAGAAAGCAAGGUGCAACCCUGUAAUGAAACUUACCAUUCCGAGUGCUUUAGCAAAUGACUCCAUUGCUACAGCUUCUUUGCCUGGUGUUCGAACAGCAAGUUCAGACACAGCUUGCGCCAUUAACAUCUCUGAACAGCCUAGGGAAAGAUUCAGAAUUAUGAAAAAUUAAUCAUUGCAUUGUGCAACAGAAGAUCUGGAACAGUAAUUGCAUUACAACAAACAAGCAAACAUCAUUCCUCCUGACAGUGUUUCUGAUUUGACACAAACUGGAGGGUCAAAUGUUAUACAAACCAACAAUGACUGUUUGACAUUAAAUUAUAAUCUCAUUCUUGAAGAAUGCCAAUGCUAAGUAGUUUUAUCUUGAUGUUACAUAUACAACCUCCUUGAUCUAGACUCUCACCUUUUUGAUGUGGCAAUUUCCGUACACUAAGAUUGUCAUCUGGGCGUGCUGCAACACCAAUUCUGCAUUCAAGUUUUCAAUUAACUCAGAAUUGAUUAAUAAUCCAAAUGUAUUGUUAAAACCAAACUAAGCAGAGAAAACUUCAAUUUAUAAAUCACUACCACCUGUCACUGCAAUGUCACAUGAAUGCAAGCAAGUCUGGCGACUUCAUAGUUAUACAUCCACCACCACGCACUUGCUGUUUACAUGCAAUCCGAAUAGUAAAUUUAAAGGCAAGGAAUAGAAGGUUUAUAAGGGAUUCGAGGCAUGUUUCUCCCACACCCAGAGCAUGGGGUAUAUCUGGAAUACUUGAAACUCCUAGAGGACAAGGUUUAACACCGGCUGAUGGAAAACAGGAUCAAAGCAGAUGAGUGCUCAAUGAUCGGCACGGACACAAUGGGCCGAAGGGCUCUUGCCGUGUUGUAAAACUGACUUUAAUUUUUAAAAUAAAAUUCCACCUUAAA